Molecule: ribosomal RNA, 478 nt
Filed under: uncultured bacterium
Lineage: Bacteria
Description: partial 16S ribosomal RNA
Rfam family: Bacterial small subunit ribosomal RNA
Source: RNAcentral
GACGAACGCUGGCGGCCUGCUUAACACAUGCAAGUCGAGCGGUAAGGCCUUCCGGGGUACACGAGCGGCGAACGGGUGAGUAACACGUGGGUGAUCUGCCCUGCACUCUGGGAUAAGCCUGGGAAAAUGGGUCUAAUACUGGAUAUGACUCCAGCAUGCAUGUGCUGGGGUGGAAAGCUCUUGUGGUGCAGGAUGGGCCCGCGGCCUAUCAGCUUGUUGGUGGGGUAAUGGCCUACCAAGGCGACGACGGGUAGCCGAGCUGAGAGGGUGACCGGCCACACUGGGACUGAGACACGGCCCAGACUCCUACGGGAGGCAGCAGUGGGGAAUAUUGCACAAUGGGCGGAAGCCUGAUGCAGCGACGCCGCGUGAGGGAUGAAGGCCUUCGGGUUGUAAACCUCUUUCAGCAGGGACGAAGCGUGAGUGACGGUACCUGCAGAAGAAGCACCGGCUAACUACGUGCCAGCCGCCGCAGUAA